UACGUAGGGGGCAAGCGUUGUCCGGAUUCAUUGGGCGUAACGAGCGUGUAGGCGGCCAGGUAGGUCGGUUGUGAAAACUGGAGGCUCAACCUUCAGAGGUCGACCGAAACCAUCUGGCUAGAGUCCGGGAGAGGAGAGUGGAAUUCCUGGUGUAGCGGUGAAAUGCGCAGAUAUCAGGAAGAACACCCGUGGCGAAAGCGGCUCUCUGGAACGGUACUGACGCUGAGACGCGAAAGCGUGGGGAGCGAACAGG
RNAcentral lists this ribosomal RNA (253 nucleotides) under uncultured bacterium. Its description in RNAcentral is "partial 16S ribosomal RNA". It matches the Rfam family "Bacterial small subunit ribosomal RNA", at positions 524 to 776 of the family's 1533-position model. The record is from RNAcentral.